UCCGUAGGGGCCGAGCGUUGUCCGGAAUUAUUGGGCGUAAGGAGCUCGUAGGCGGCCUGUUGCGUCCGCUGUGAAAGCCCGGGGCUUAACCCCGGGUCGGCAGUGGAUACGGGCAGGCUAGAGGUAGGUAGGGGAGAAUGGAAUUCCCGGUGUAGCGGUGAAAUGCGCAGAUAUCGGGAGGAACACCGGUGGCGAAGGCGGUGCUCUGGGCCUUACCUGACGCUGAGGAGCGAAAGCGUGGGGAGCGAACAGG
Molecule: ribosomal RNA, 253 nt
Filed under: uncultured bacterium
Lineage: Bacteria
Description: partial 16S ribosomal RNA
Rfam family: Bacterial small subunit ribosomal RNA
Source: RNAcentral